Molecule: unclassified non-coding RNA, 222 nt
Filed under: rhizosphere metagenome
Description: partial ribosomal RNA internal transcribed spacer region
Source: RNAcentral
GUAGGUGAACCUGCGGAGGGAUCAUUACACAAUAUGAAAGCGGGCUGGCAUCCUUCGGGGUUACAGCCUUGCUGAAUUAUUCACCCGUGUCUUUUGCGUACUUCUUGUUUCCUUGGUGGGUUCGCCCACCAUAGGACAAACCAUAAACCUUUUGUAAUUGCAAUCACCGUCAGAAAAAAAAAUUAAUAAUUACAACUUUUAACAACGGAUCUCUUGGUUCUG